Molecule: ribosomal RNA, 236 nt
Filed under: uncultured haloarchaeon
Lineage: Archaea; Methanobacteriati; Methanobacteriota; Halobacteria; Halobacteriales; Halobacteriaceae
Description: partial 16S ribosomal RNA
Rfam family: Archaeal small subunit ribosomal RNA
Source: RNAcentral
GGGGUUUUGUCCGGCAACGAGCGAGAACCCCCACUCUAAUUUCCCGCCACACCCUUGGGGUGGAUGGGUACAUUAGGAGGACUGCCGCUGCCAAAGCGGAGGAAGGAACGGGCAACGGUAGGUCAGUAUGCCCCGAAUGUGCUGGGCUACACGCGGGCUACAAUGGUCGAGACAAUGGGUUCCUACCUCGAAAGAGGACGGUAAUCUCCUAAACUCGAUCGUAGUUCGGAUUGAGG